CCGUCCUUAGAGUUUGAUCCUGGCUCAGGACGAACGCUGGCGGCGUGCUUAACACAUGCAAGUCGAGCGGUAAGGCCCCUUCGGGGGUACACGAGCGGCGAACGGGUGAGUAACACGUGAGCAACCUACCCUCAACUUCGGGAUAAGCCUCGGAGACGGGGUCUAAUACCGGAUAUCAUCUUCUGCUUCAUGGCGGAGGGUUGAAAGUUCUGGCGGUUGGGGAUGGGCUCGCGGCCUAUCAGCUUGUUGGUGGGGUAAUGGCCUACCAAGGCUUCGACGGGUAGCCGGCCUGAGAGGGCGACCGGCCACACUGGGACUGAGACACGGCCCAGACUCCUACGGGAGGCAGCAGUGGGGAAUAUUGCGCAAUGGACGAAAGUCUGACGCAGCAACGCCGCGUGAGGGAUGACGGCCUUCGGGUUGUAAACCUCUUUCAGCAGGGACGAAGCGAGAGUGACGGUACCUGCAGAAGAAGGACCGGCCAACUACGUGCCAGCAGCCGCGGUAAUACGUAGGGUCCGAGCGUUGUCCGGAAUUAUUGGGCGUAAAGGGCUCGUAGGCGGUCCGUCGCGUCGGGAGUGAAAACUCGGAGCUUAACUCCGAGCCUGCUUCCGAUACGGGCAGACUAGAGGUAGGCAGGGGAGAGCGGAACACCUGGUGUAGCGGUGGAAUGCGCAGAUAUCAGGUAGAACACCGGUGGCGAAGGCGGCUCUCUGGGCCUUACCUGACGCUGAGGAGCGAAAGCGUGGGUAGCGAACAGGAUUAGAUACCCUGGUAGUCCACGCCGUAAACGUUGGGCGCUAGGUGUGGGGGACAUUCCACGUCCUCCGUGCCGCAGCUAACGCAUUAAGCGCCCCGCCUGGGGAGUACGGCCGCAA
Molecule: ribosomal RNA, 878 nt
Filed under: uncultured bacterium
Lineage: Bacteria
Description: bacterial SSU rRNA
Rfam family: Bacterial small subunit ribosomal RNA
Source: RNAcentral